CUGGCGGCGCGCCUAACACAUGCAAGUCGAACGAGCGAGAGAGAGCUUGCUUUCUCGAGCGAGUGGCGAACGGGUGAGUAACGCGUGAGGAACCUGCCUCAAAGAGGGGGACAACAGUUGGAAACGACUGCUAAUACCGCAUAAGCCCACGGCUCGGCAUCGAGCAGAGGGAAAAGGAGCAAUCCGCUUUGAGAUGGCCUCGCGUCCGAUUAGCUAGUUGGUGAGGUAAAGGCUCACCAAGGCGACGAUCGGUAGCUGGUCUGAGAGGACGACCAGCCACACUGGGACUGAGACACGGCCCAGACUCCUACGGGAGGCAGCAGUGGGGAAUUUUGGACAAUGGGGGCAACCCUGAUCCAGCCAUGCCGCGUGCAGGAUGAAGGCCUUCGGGUUGUAAACUGCUUUUGUCAGGGACGAAAAGGACCGUGUUAAUACCAUGGUCUGCUGACGGUACCUGAAGAAUAAGCACCGGCUAACUACGUG
This 483-nucleotide ribosomal RNA is filed under the name uncultured bacterium. RNAcentral's name for it is "bacterial SSU rRNA". It matches the Rfam family "Bacterial small subunit ribosomal RNA", at positions 36 to 507 of the family's 1533-position model. The record is from RNAcentral.